RNAcentral lists this transfer RNA (84 nucleotides) under Pseudomonadota bacterium. RNAcentral's name for it is "tRNA-Leu". It matches the Rfam family "tRNA". From Rfam's summary of the family: Transfer RNA (tRNA) molecules are approximately 80 nucleotides in length. Their secondary structure includes four short double-helical elements and three loops (D, anti-codon, and T loops). RNAcentral also lists the same sequence under 4 other names. The record is from RNAcentral. Lineage: Bacteria; Pseudomonadati; Pseudomonadota.
GCGGGCGUGGCGGAAUGGCAGACGCGCCGGACUUAGGAUCCGGUUCCGCAAGGAGUGGAGGUUCAAGUCCUCUCGCCCGCACCA